UUGUCAUGCCAAUGGCACUGCCCGGUAGCUAAAUGCGGAAGAGAUAAGUGCUGAAAGCAUCUAAGCACGAAACUUGCCCCGAGAUGAGUUCUCCCUGAGACUUAGAGUCUCCUGAAGGAACGUUGAAGACGACGACGUUGAUAGGCCGGGUGUGUAAGCGCAGCGAUGCGUUGAGCUAACCGGUACUAAUGAACCGUGAGGCUUAACCU
Molecule: ribosomal RNA, 209 nt
Filed under: Salmonella enterica
Lineage: Bacteria; Pseudomonadati; Pseudomonadota; Gammaproteobacteria; Enterobacterales; Enterobacteriaceae
Also listed under: 1 other name
Description: partial 23S ribosomal RNA
Rfam family: Bacterial large subunit ribosomal RNA
Source: RNAcentral